UACGUAGGGGGCAAGCGUUGUCCGGAAUCAUUGGGCGUAAAGAGCGUGUAGGCGGUCCGGUAAGUCGGCUGUGAAAGUCCAGGGCUCAACCCUGGGAUGCCGGUCGAUACUGCCGGACUAGAGUUCGGAAGAGGCGAGUGGAAUUCCCAGUGUAGAGGUGAAAUUCGUAGAUAUUGGGAAGAACACCGAUGGCGAAGGCAGCCAUCUGGACCGACACUGACGCUGAGGCGCGAAAGCGUGGGGAGCAAACAGG
This 253-nucleotide ribosomal RNA is filed under the name uncultured bacterium. RNAcentral's name for it is "partial 16S ribosomal RNA". It matches the Rfam family "Bacterial small subunit ribosomal RNA", at positions 524 to 776 of the family's 1533-position model. The record is from RNAcentral.